GCCAGAUGUGUUAAAAUAAUGACC
Molecule: microRNA, 24 nt
Filed under: Oryza sativa (Asian cultivated rice)
Lineage: Eukaryota; Viridiplantae; Streptophyta; Magnoliopsida; Poales; Poaceae
Also listed under: 1 other name
Description: osa-miR2879
Source: miRBase by way of RNAcentral